This is a long non-coding RNA of Gordionus sp. m RMFG-2023, 238 nucleotides long. RefSeq lists it as uncharacterized. The transcript is spliced from 3 exons. The record is from RefSeq and is a predicted model, not a curated record. NCBI's taxonomy places the organism in Eukaryota, Metazoa, Nematomorpha, Gordioida, Chordodea, Parachordodidae.
GAUAAAACUACCAAACUAUAACAUAACGGCAUUGAGGAUGUCAACAACUUAUUUAGAUUGUCAUCUGCAUAACAUAUCGAAGGAAGAAACGAUAUCAUGGAUGAGGUUGGGCGAUAAUCAAAUCCUUUCAAUAGGAGAUUUCAAGUUUAUUGAAGACCCCAGAAUAACAAUAAUAAAUCAACCAAAAUGAUGAAGGAUUUUAUGAGUGUCAAUUUACUACUGAAAUCGAUAAGAUUGG